Molecule: non-coding RNA, 74 nt
Organism: Podarcis lilfordi (Lilford's wall lizard)
Lineage: Eukaryota; Metazoa; Chordata; Lepidosauria; Squamata; Lacertidae
Source: the annotation of a GenBank genome assembly
GAAGGACUAUAGCUCAGUGGUAGAGCAUCUGCACUCCAAGCAGAAGGACCUAGGUUCAGUCCUUGGCAUCUUCA